UAAGGAAGUAAAAGUCGUAACAAGGUCUCCGUUGGUGAACCAGCGGAGGGAUCAUUA
RNAcentral lists this ribosomal RNA (57 nucleotides) under Leptobacillium leptobactrum. RNAcentral describes it as "partial 18S ribosomal RNA". It matches the Rfam family "Eukaryotic small subunit ribosomal RNA", at positions 1775 to 1831 of the family's 1831-position model. Lineage: Eukaryota; Fungi; Ascomycota; Sordariomycetes; Hypocreales; Cordycipitaceae. The record is from RNAcentral.